This 209-nucleotide unclassified non-coding RNA is filed under the name Hevea brasiliensis (rubber tree). The record is from RNAcentral. Lineage: Eukaryota; Viridiplantae; Streptophyta; Magnoliopsida; Malpighiales; Euphorbiaceae.
GAUAAUCCUCACCCUAUGAGCUGGACUUUAGGGUUGUGCUAGGCCCAGAACCUAUUCUUUAACAAACCCAAAAGUAGCCUUUUUCGGUUGAUUGAUCCUUCGGAGCCUAAGAUGCUUAUCCAGUCCCAUGAAUCACUCCUAUUGUGUCCUUUUUCAGCUAAUAUCAUUUACACUGCUCUGCCACUGUGUAAAAGAGUGACGGAGAUUUU